GACGGAGGAUGCAAGCGUUAUCCGGAAUCACUGGGCGUAAAGCGUCUGUAGGCGGUUUAAUAAGUCAACUGUUAAAUCUUGAGGCUCAACCUCAAAAUCGCAGUCGAAACUAUUAGGCUAGAGUAUAGUAGGGGUAAAGGGAAUUUCCAGUGGAGCGGUGAAAUGCGUAGAGAUUGGAAAGAACACCGAUGGCGAAGGCACUUUACUGGGCUAUUACUGACGCUCAGAGACGAAAGCUAGGGUAGCAAAUGGG
This 253-nucleotide ribosomal RNA is filed under the name uncultured bacterium. Its description in RNAcentral is "partial 16S ribosomal RNA". It matches the Rfam family "Bacterial small subunit ribosomal RNA", at positions 524 to 776 of the family's 1533-position model. The record is from RNAcentral.